AUGACCUCAGGGAACUCGCUCCCCACUCUUAUCCAAGAUAAGACCAUUUUUGUUACAAAGAAUUUCCAUGUGUGUGGAGAUUGCCAUACAGUUAUCAAGUACAUGAGCUUAAUCAGGAGAAGGGAUAUAAUCGUCAGAGAUGCCUAUAGGUUUCAUCAUUUCAGGAAUGGACAAUGCAGUUGUGAAGAUUUUUGGUGA
Molecule: ribosomal RNA, 198 nt
Filed under: Triticum aestivum (bread wheat)
Lineage: Eukaryota; Viridiplantae; Streptophyta; Magnoliopsida; Poales; Poaceae
Description: partial small subunit ribosomal RNA
Source: RNAcentral